This 484-nucleotide ribosomal RNA is filed under the name uncultured bacterium. RNAcentral's name for it is "partial 16S ribosomal RNA". It matches the Rfam family "Bacterial small subunit ribosomal RNA", at positions 30 to 507 of the family's 1533-position model. The record is from RNAcentral.
AUUGAACGCUGGCGGCAGGCCUAACACAUGCAAGUCGAGCGGAUGAAGGGAGCUUGCUCCUGGAUUCAGCGGCGGACGGGUGAGUAAUGCCUAGGAAUCUGCCUGGUAGUGGGGGAUAACGUCCGGAAACGGGCGCUAAUACCGCAUACGUCCUGAGGUAGAAAGUGGGGGAUCUUCGGACCUCACGCUAUCAGAUGAGCCUAGGUCGGAUUAGCUAGUUGGUUGGGUAAAGGCCUACCAAGGCGACGAUCCGUAACUGGUCUGAGAGGAUGAUCAGUCACACUGGAACUGAGACACGGUCCAGACUCCUACGGGAGGCAGCAGUGGGGAAUAUUGGACAAUGGGCGAAAGCCUGAUCCAGCAAUGCCGCGUGUGUGAAGAAGGUCUUCGGAUUGUAAAGCACUUUAAGUUGGGAGGAAGGGCAGUAAGUUAAUACCUUGCUGUUUUGACGUUACCAACAGAAUAAGCACCGGCUAACUUCGUG